Molecule: ribosomal RNA, 443 nt
Filed under: uncultured bacterium
Lineage: Bacteria
Description: partial 16S ribosomal RNA
Rfam family: Bacterial small subunit ribosomal RNA
Source: RNAcentral
CCUACGGGAGGCAGCAGUGGGGAAUAUUGGACAAUGGGGGGAACCCUGAUCCAGCGACGCCGCGUGAGUGAAGAAGUAUUUCGGUAUGUAAAGCUCUAUCAGCAGGGAAGAAAGAAAUGACGGUACCUGACUAAGAAGCCCCGGCUAACUACGUGCCAGCAGCCGCGGUAAUACGUAGGGGGCAAGCGUUAUCCGGAUUUACUGGGUGUAAAGGGAGCGUAGACGGCGAUGCAAGUCUGAAGUGAAAGGCGGUGGCCCAACCCCCGGACUGCUUUGGAAACUGUAUGGCUGGAGUGCAGGAGAGGUAAGUGGAAUUCCUAGUGUAGCGGUGAAAUGCGUAGAUAUUAGGAGGAACACCAGUGGCGAAGGCGGCUUACUGGACUGUAACUGACGUUGAGGCUCGAAAGCGUGGGGAGCAAACAGGAUUAGAUACCCCAGUAGUC